GGGGGCAUGACUUGUUCAUGCAGUCGAGCUGAUCACAUUUGGGAGCUUGCUCCCAAAGAUUAGCGGCGGACGGGUGAGUAACACGUGGGCAACCUGCCUAUGAGACUGGGAUAACUCCGGGAAACCGGGGCUAAUACCGGAUAAUUCUUUUCUACACAUGUAGAAAAGCUGAAAGAUGGUUUCGGCUAUCACUCAUAGAUGGGCCCGCGGCGCAUUAGCUAGUUGGUGAGGUAACGGCUCACCAAGGCGACGAUGCGUAGCCGACCUGAGAGGGUGAUCGGCCACACUGGGACUGAGACACGGCCCAGACUCCUACGGGAGGCAGCAGUAGGGAAUCUUCCGCAAUGGACGAAAGUCUGACGGAGCAACGCCGCGUGAGUGAUGAAGGUUUUCGGAUCGUAAAACUCUGUUGUUAGGGAAGAACAAGUACCGGAGUAACUGCCGGUACCUUGACGGUACCUAACCAGAAAGCCACGGCUAACUACGUGCCAGCAGCCGCGGUAAUACGUAGGUGGCAAGCGUUGUCCGGAAUUAUUGGGCGUAAAGCGCGCGCAGGUGGUCUCUUAAGUCUGAUGUGAAAGCCCCCGGCUCAACCGGGGAGGGUCAUUGGAAACUGGGAGACUUGAGUGCAGGAGAGAAGAGUGGAAUUCCACGUGUAGCGGUGAAAUGCGUAGAGAUGUGGAGGAACACCAGUGGCGAAGGCGACUCUUUGGCCUGUAACUGACACUGAGGCGCGAAAGCGUGGGGAGCAAACAGGAUUAGAUACCCUGGUAGUCCACGCCGUAAACGAUGAGUGCUAAGUGUUAGAGGGUUUCCCCCCUUUAGUGCUGCAGCAAACGCAUUAAGCACUCCGCCUGGGGAGUACGGCCGCAAGGCUGAAACUCAAAGGAAUUGACGGGGGCCCGCACAAGCGGUGGAGCAUGUGGUUUUAUUCGAAGCACCGCGAAAAACCUUACCAGGUCUUGACAUCCUCUGACACUCCUAAAAAAAAGGUCGUUCCCCUUCGGGGGACAAAAUGACAAGUGGUGGCAUGGUUUUUCUUCAACUUCAGGGCAUGAGGAUAGUAGGGGUAAUUUU
This 1077-nucleotide ribosomal RNA is filed under the name Cytobacillus firmus. Its description in RNAcentral is "bacterial SSU rRNA". It matches the Rfam family "Bacterial small subunit ribosomal RNA", at positions 38 to 1087 of the family's 1533-position model. The record is from RNAcentral. Lineage: Bacteria; Bacillati; Bacillota; Bacilli; Caryophanales; Bacillaceae.